Molecule: transfer RNA, 72 nt
Filed under: Camelus bactrianus (Bactrian camel)
Lineage: Eukaryota; Metazoa; Chordata; Mammalia; Artiodactyla; Camelidae
Also listed under: 2 other names
Rfam family: tRNA
About the family: Transfer RNA (tRNA) molecules are approximately 80 nucleotides in length. Their secondary structure includes four short double-helical elements and three loops (D, anti-codon, and T loops).
Source: Rfam by way of RNAcentral
GAGAGUAUAGCUAAGUGGUAGAGCUCAUGCUUAGCAUGCAUGAGGUCCUGGGUUCAGUCUCCAGUACCAUCA